AACGAACGCUGGCGGCAUGCCUAACACAUGCAAGUCGAACGAGACCUUCGGGUCUAGUGGCGCACGGGUGCGUAACGCGUGGGAAUCUGCCCUUGGGUUCGGAAUAACAGUUGGAAACGACUGCUAAUACCGGAUGAUGACGUAAGUCCAAAGAUUUAUCGCCCAAGGAUGAGCCCGCGUAGGAUUAGCUAGUUGGUGAGGUAAAGGCUCACCAAGGCGACGAUCCUUAGCUGGUCUGAGAGGAUGAUCAGCCACACUGGGACUGAGACACGGCCCAGAACCAUAGGGGAGGGAGGAGUGGGGAAUAUUGGACAAGGGGCGAAAGCCUGAACCAGAAAGGCCGGGGGGGUGAAGAAGGCCUUAGGGUUGAAAAGCUCUUUUACCCGGGAGGAUAAUGACAGUACCGGGAGAAUAAGCCCCGGCUAACCCCGU
This 432-nucleotide ribosomal RNA is filed under the name uncultured bacterium. RNAcentral describes it as "partial 16S ribosomal RNA". It matches the Rfam family "Bacterial small subunit ribosomal RNA", at positions 29 to 506 of the family's 1533-position model. The record is from RNAcentral.